GACGAACGCUGGCGGCGUGCCUAAUACAUGCAAGUCGAGCGGACGAUUCGAAAGCUUGCUUUUGAAUCGUUAGCGGCGGACGGGUGAGUAACACGUGGGCAACCUGCCCUGUAGACGGGGAUAACACCGAGAAAUCGGUGCUAAUACCGGAUAACACGAAAUGUCGCAUGACGUUUCGUUGAAAGGCGGCGCAAGCUGCCGCUACAGGAUGGGCCCGCGGCGCAUUAGCUAGUUGGUGAGGUAACGGCUCACCAAGGCGACGAUGCGUAGCCGACCUGAGAGGGUGAUCGGCCACACUGGGACUGAGACACGGCCCAGACUCCUACGGGAGGCAGCAGUAGGGAAUCUUCCGCAAUGGACGAAAGUCUGACGGAGCGACGCCGCGUGAGCGAAGAAGGCCUUCGGGUCGUAAAGCUCUGUUGUUAGGGAAGAACAAGUAACGUAGUAACUGACGUUACUAUGACGGUACCUAACGAGAAAGCCACGGCUAACUACGUG
Molecule: ribosomal RNA, 498 nt
Filed under: uncultured bacterium
Lineage: Bacteria
Description: partial 16S ribosomal RNA
Rfam family: Bacterial small subunit ribosomal RNA
Source: RNAcentral